This 1035-nucleotide ribosomal RNA is filed under the name Ascagilis bipolaris. Its description in RNAcentral is "SSU rRNA". It matches the Rfam family "Eukaryotic small subunit ribosomal RNA", at positions 87 to 1133 of the family's 1831-position model. The record is from RNAcentral. Lineage: Eukaryota; Fungi; Ascomycota; Dothideomycetes; Jahnulales; Aliquandostipitaceae.
CUGCGAAUGGCUCAUUAAAUCAGUUAUCGUUUAUUUGAUAGUACCUUACUACACGGAUAUCUGUGGUAAUUCUAGAGUUAAUACGUGCUAAAAACCCCGACUUCGGGAGGGGUGUAUUUAUUAGACUAAAAGCCAACGCCCUCCGGGGCUCCUUGGUGAUUCAUAAUAACUCAACGAAUCGCAUGGCCUUGAGCCGGCGAUGGUUCAUUCAAAUUUCUGCCCUAUCAACUUUCGAUGCUAGGGUAGUGGCCUAGCAUGGUGACAACGGGUAACGGGGGAUUAGGGUUCUAUUCCGGAGAGGGAGCCCGAGAAACGGCUACCACAUCCAAGGAAGGCAGCAGGCGCGCAAAUUACCCAAUCCCGACACGGGGAGGUAGUGACAAUAAAUACUGAUACAGGGCUCUUUCGGGUCUUGUAAUUGGAAUGAGUACGAUUUAAACACCCUAACGAGGAACAAUUGGAGGGCAAGUCUGGUGCCAGCAGCCGCGGUAAUUCCAGCUCCAAUAGCGUAUAUUAAAGUUGUUGCAGUUAAAACGCUCGUCGUUGAACCUUGGGCCUGGGCGAUCGGUCCCCCUCACCGGGAGCACUGGUUCGGCCGGGCCUUUCCUUCUGGGGAUCCGCAUGCCCUUUGCUGGGCGUGCCGGGGAACCAGGACUUUUACUUUGAAAAAAUUAGAGUGUUCAAAGCAGGCCUUUGCUCGAAUACCUUAGCAUGGAAUAAUAGAAUAGGACGUGCGGUCCUAUUUUGUUGGUUUCUAGGACCGCCGUAAUGAUUAAUAGGGUCAGUCGGGGGCAUCAGUAUUCAAUUGUCAGAGGUGAAAUUCUUAGAUUUAUUGAAGACUAACUACUGCGAAAGCAUUUGCCAAGGAUGUUUUCAUUAAUCAGUGAACGAAAGUUAGGGGAUCGAAGACGAUCAGAUACCGUCGUAGUCCUAACCAUAAACUAUGCCGACUAGGGAUCGGGGUAUACUCAUUUUUGGUUGCCUCGGCACCUUACGAAAAAUCAAAGUGUUUGGUUCUGGGGGGAGUAUAGUCCA